This 253-nucleotide ribosomal RNA is filed under the name uncultured bacterium. RNAcentral describes it as "partial 16S ribosomal RNA". It matches the Rfam family "Bacterial small subunit ribosomal RNA", at positions 524 to 776 of the family's 1533-position model. The record is from RNAcentral.
GACGAACCGUCCGAACGUUAUUCGGAAUCACUGGGCUUAAAGGGUGCGUAGGCGGCGCGGAAAGUUGGGUGUGAAAUCCCUCGGCUCAACCGAGGAACUGCGCUCAAAACUACCGUGCUCGAGGGAGAUAGAGGUGAGCGGAACUUAGGGUGGAGCGGUGAAAUGCGUUGAUAUCCUAAGGAACACCGGUGGCGAAAGCGGCUCACUGGAUCUCUUCUGACGCUGAGGCACGAAAGCUAGGGUAGCGAACGGG